Molecule: long non-coding RNA, 1665 nt
Organism: Nicotiana attenuata
Lineage: Eukaryota; Viridiplantae; Streptophyta; Magnoliopsida; Solanales; Solanaceae
Exons: 2
Source: RefSeq, a predicted model, not a curated record
UCUGCCUAGUCCAAUAUCAAGUUUAUCACUUCUAAGAAUUAAGGUUUGUCUUUCUUCUUUCUUCCUCUUUGGCGAAAGGUCUCAACCUCCAUUAUCCAUGGCAGAAACUUGCCCCUCCAAUUUCAAUGUGGAGUCUCGAAAGCACUCAGUUCACUGCCCCGUGGAAGGUAAAAACUCGACCUUAUCCUAUUAUUCUUAUAUUACUAACAUACCGUAUUAUUGAAUUACGUGUUAGAUUCUCUUCCGUUUAAUUGAAUCAAAAUAUGUUUGUAGUUUGUACAAAAGGGGACAUUAGCACUCAUGUCUUUAGGACUUAUAAUUAAAAUCUGCUGUAGUAGCAUGUAUUUUGCAGCUCUGUUAAGAACCAUGCUUCCUUUAAUUAAAAGGCCUUGGUUACAAAUAUUAGUUGUAGAGUAGUAUUUGUACUUUGAAAUUGAUUGCCAGGUUCACUGAAACGUCUUGUGUAUAAGUUACUGAUUUUGUGACAAAACUGUUAUAACUAAUGAUUUAAGUGUAGAAAUCAUGACUUAGAUCCUUUAAGCUUUUAGAUAUCAUGGCUUAAGAUUGUCGUACAAAUUUUGUAUACAAAUUUUGUAAUUAUAAAGUUUGGUCAAAGUAAAAUACUCGAUUAAGUGUUCAUAUUUAGAGUUAAGAAAUUUUGUUUAUGUCAAAGAAAUACAUUGUUUGUCAACUUUGAGUUUUGAAGCGAGGAUAUGUAUGUGUUGAAGUGCUGCUCGUUUAAGCUAAUAACAAGUUUGAAUGCUAAUACAGAAAUCAUAAUUUAGUUAAUUUUAUCUCACUUGUUAGAUGCCAUGGCCUUAGGCCCAGUUAAUUCUUGCUCAUUAGGAUACAUUAAAAGGAGUCUUUUAGUUAAAAUGAGUUUUGGUAUCAUGAACCUGUAGUCUUGUUUGAUGUUUUGAAUAUUCUAUCAUUAUAAAUUUGUUUUUAUUAGCUAAUGUAGUGUUAACUGAUAAGCAGAAAACGUUAAUAUAGUAUAACUAGAUUUAAAAGAGAAUAGGUUAGUUACCUAUACGUUUAAGCUAUGGAUUAAGCCUGCUUUUGGUACAGCUGUAUUAGACAUAGUUGUAAACAGUAAGAAACCUGCCUUUAACACUUUAUUGCCAACUUGAUCAUGUAUUUUAAACAUAAUUGCAAGUGAUUUGUCUGUCUCCUAAGUGUAAAAUGUCAAGAUACAUCAUAUAUAAAUUAGUGAACUUCAGUCUAUCAUACUCGAGUAGACAUUAUGAAGGAAUAUUUUCAAUUUUACUGUCUGUUGUGUAUUAAGUGACAGUGUGUUCUUUCUUCUAUUUACUUUAGCAUCCAUAUAUAUAGUUGUGAAUCAGAUUUUCUAUUGUAAUUCUUCUUUACUUUCUUUUCUUUCUCUGUUCGCAUGUACACCUGGGACGAGUGUUCGAAUGCUAAUGAAAGAGUCUUUCAACUCUCAUGGAGUUAGCCAUCACAUUUAUCUAUUCCUCGUGGUCUCGAAUUUCAUUCAAGGAAAACAAUUGAUGAAUAGCAGAAGCAUGGUCCUUUGUGGGGCUGCAGGAAUAGGCAUUUAAGCCUCUUUCUUAUAUCUAUUGCCUUUGCUUUGAUUAUAUGACUAAAUGAUUGCCUUGAUUAUUUGAAUUACUUGUUUAUGUGUUAAAAUUAUCUUGGUUUGGAAUA